AAGACUUUUCAAGGAUCUAAGAUCAAAUCAAUGUAGUAUAAAAGAUUGUCGAACCAAUCCUAGGUGAUUCUAAAGCAAAGGGAAUGCAAGUUUAUGCUUAAGCUAACUGCGAUCCGGUUUUAAAGAUGGUAUGAACUAAGAACUAAUAAGCUAAUGCAAUAAAGUAAUGAUCUUUCUUUUCUCAAUAUGAAGCAAGAGGACUCAUGGGGCUAGGCAUUUGAUCUUGGGUGAUGUAGAUCCAAUCUAGAGGUGGCAAGCUAUCAAUCAAACACUUUCCUUAUGCCUAGACACUAAGCUAAACAAGCUCUAUCUCUAGAUGAAUGUUCUUUUGAUAAAGCAACUCAAGCAUCUAAUCUCUUAGGUUGAAUGUUACUAAAUCAAACAUGGAGAACAAGUUUAAUAGCAAUCUUAACUCCUUUAGCAACUAAUCUCUUAGGUAAAGCAAGCUAAAAGCAUUGAAGAGUUGGUUCAGGCAUUUCAUCAUACACCUUGUGGGCAGGAAAUGCCUAGAGAUUUAUUUUAGUAUAAUCAAGACUAAAAUAGCAUUUGGAACCCUCAACAAGCAAGGAAACAAGUAGAUCUAACUUUAAACACCCUAGAUCAUCUCUAACCACCCUUAAUCACCCUAGCCCAUGAAUCCAAAGAUGACUACUCAAAACUCUUCAUGAUGAGCCCAAGAAUCAAUGAUGAUUUGGUGCUAAUCAUGAUUAAUGACCAGAUUAAUCAAGCAAAUCACAAGAAGAAAUGAUCAAAGUAAGAUCUUUCACCUAAAAGUUCUUUCUUAUUGUGAUAGAAAACAAGAUAAGAUCCCAACUUUUGGAUUACAAGAGUAUUUAUAUCCCUUGGAAAACCUAAUGGUUCCCAUUAAAAAGUAUAAAAUGCCCAUAAAAAAUGUUUAAAAUCGACUAAGGAUAAGUCUCGGCUCGGGUAGGAGUCGACGGGGCAUACCCCGCGUCACACAACCCGCGUCGGAUGCUCGUUGAUCUUCUGCUUCAUGCGCGCGGGUAGUGGAACCCGCGGCCUUUAUCCCGCGUCGGACCGCCGAUCUUUCCUGCCAUGCGCGCGGGUAAUGGAACCCGCGUGGCUUCGUCCCGCGUGGCUCCGUCCCGCGUGGCUCCGUGCGCGUGGGUGAGCGAUCCCGCGUGCCUUCAACCCGCAUCGGUUACCCCUCUUCAGCUCCAUGCGCGCGGGUGAGUUAUCCCGCGUGCCUUCAACCCGCGUCGUACCGCCUCUCCAGCUCCGUGCGCGCAGGUGAGUUAUCCCGCGUGCCUUCAACCCGCGUCGUAGUCGGCCUGAACUCGAACCGACUUCAAUUUCUAUCUCCUCUUGGACCACAAUGCUUCUAAACACCUCCAAUUACUCCAAAGGAUGCUCCAAUACCUGAUUAAGACAUAUGAAUGCAAAAUGGAUCCUAAAGAUGCUAAACUCUUAUUCUAUAUGAUCAUUAUGUACAAAAUGGAAGCUUAAAACAAUGAAAAUAUGCAAGAUAUCAGUUAGAAGAUUUCUCAUAAGUCUUCCAAAGUUUGACUCAGCUCUGAAAAACCUGCAUAUCCAAAAAUGUUGAAAUGGCUUCAAAAAUAGAAAAUAAGUGGAAGAUAAGAUAGAUCUACCUUAAAGAAGACACAUAAAUACAUAUCCAAAAAAAUUAGAUCUACCUUUAAAGUAGUGGAAGAUGAUAACCAUGUGAUAAAAAUCUGCAAAAACUAGAUAGAUUAGUAAGAAAGACAAGAGAAAAAAGAGAAUUUGAUACAAAGUUCGGUGUUUUCAUGUUUAAAAAGAUUAGAGAAAGGUCGGAAAAUUUUAGUUUGGAAAAAAAGUAAGAGCUUUAUGCAACAAGAGGUUACUAAAUGAAGAAAAAUCAAACAUGAAAACUUACAAAAACGUACAUAUCUGUUAUGAAAGAGGAGACAUGAGAGAAGAAUAUGUCAGAAGUAUUCUAGCGCAUUAUAUUUUAUAAGACUUCCGAGAACACUAGUAAAAAUCUACCGCAUAGCCACGGUACUGCCACUGUAAAACCGUGGCUAUAAACAAAUAGCCACGACUCAGUCACGAAUUAGCCACGGUUAACAAUUAGCCACGAUUAAUCCAAAAAGAAGCCACAUAAUAGCCACGAAGCAAGAAAGUGGCUACGUUAGCCACGAUUUAGCUACGAAGUUUCCGUGGGAAGAGACAUAGCCACGGUUAUAGCCAGUAUUGUUUCAGUAGCUAUAUUACUAGCCAAUGUAUAGCCAUAUUUUUUUCAUGGCAGUGUACAAACCCUAAUUCAAACCCCCAAUUCUAUAUCCUAAACCCCAAACUUAAACAUACAUAUAAAACUAUAUAUCUAAUUUUUUCAAUCUUAUAAUUUAAAUCACAAACUCAAAUAUAUUUAAACUACAAAUAAAUUUCAAUGUUAAACUCUAAAUUUUAAUCAUAAACUCUACAACUACAAAUACAUUAUAUCCAAAUCCUAUAUCAUACAUUAAACCAUUAACAGUUGAACCUAAACCCAAACUUUAUAUACUAUAAACUCCAAAACAUUUAUACUUUCCAUUAUAUAACUUUAACAUUGUAAAUUAGAUAUAAUUUUCCAUAGUCCAACUCUUAAAUAUAACCAUAUAUCUUUUAAACUCUAAACCUAAAACAUUAUAUAUUCCAAAUUUCGUAACACAUAUACUUUCAAUUAUGUAACUCUGACAUUUAUAAAUGUAAUCAUAUUCUUCAAAUUCCAAACUUUAAGCUUAAUCAUAUAUUAUUUAAUUAACUCUAAACUCCGAGCUUUAUUUAUUUUUUGAAACACAAACUCCAAACUUUAUAUUUUCCAAAUUUUAUACCCAAAAUUAAAAAAAGAUUUAAACUUCAAUUUUUAUUAUAAACUAAAUCACCAACUAUUAAUUAUUAUAUAAUCCUUAAACUUUAAUCCUUAACACUUAAAUCUUUAAUCCUUCAACUUUAAUCUUUAACACUUCAUAACACUAUAUAAAAUAAAAACAAAAACAAACGUAAAUAACAAUCUACGCCCUAGUUUCUUAUUGGUUAAAAACAAGAGUGUUCGGAUAGCUAAUCUAACCAUUGGUUACAAUUAAUCAAUGGUCUAGAUUGAUUCUUUUUGUGUUUCUUUGUCAUAGGCCAGACAGAUCUAGCACCACACAAUUCAAUACUCUCUUUCAUGUCUCCCUCUUCUUUCACGUUUCUUCCCCUCCUCUUCCACACAAAUUAACUUGCGGUUAAGGGUGAUUAUGAUGAUGAUGAAGGUCGCAGAAGAAGAGAGUCUCCGUGGAGGGUGAUGACGAUGGUUGCAGAAGAACUGACUCGAUAUGAAGGGUUACUCGCCGUGAAGGGUGACUCUGGUCUUAAGCUCUUCGUCGUAGACGAUUUCAUCAACAAAUCAACACGAAUGAAGACGAACGCCACGAAUGGAGAAGGGUGAGAAGAUAGACGGCGACGGAGGACACGAGACAGCGACGGGGGACACGAGACGGCGACAGAGUGCGGUGGAGGAGGCAGAAGAUCUCCUGGUGGUUUGGUUGGUGGUGGAGUGGCACGACUAUCACCGGAGACGCGGGGAGAUGGGCUAUCACCGGAAGAAUCGUGCGGUAGUGCGUGCUGUCGUGGUCCGGUGGUGCUGAGCAAGAAAAAGAAGAGAAAGGCGGAGAAGGAGAGAAGACAAAAAGCCGGAGACACCAUCGGAGGUGGUCAGACGAGGACGUCGGAAUUUGCCGGAUUUAUUUGUAUUUUAUAUAUAUUGUUUGUAUUUUAUUAUAUAUUAUUAAAAUGUCCAUUUUGUUAUUUAUUUUUUUUUUAAAAAUUA
Molecule: long non-coding RNA, 3790 nt
Organism: Brassica napus (rape)
Lineage: Eukaryota; Viridiplantae; Streptophyta; Magnoliopsida; Brassicales; Brassicaceae
Exons: 2
Source: RefSeq, a predicted model, not a curated record